AACGAACGCUGGCGGCAUGCCUAACACAUGCAAGUCGAACGAAAACUCCCGGUUUUGGUGCGCACGUCGACGUAAGACGUGGGAACCUACACUUAGGUUAGGUGUAACUCACUGAAGGGUAUCCUAAUACAGCAUAAUCUCUUCGCACCAAAGAUCUAUCGCGUCUGGAUGGGCGCGCGUUGGAUUCGCCAGUUGGUAGGGUAAAAGCAUACCAAGGCGACGAUCCUGAGCUGGUCGGGGAGGAUGACCAGCAAGACUGGGACUGAGACACGGCCCAGACUCGUACGGGAGGCAGCAGUGGGGAAUAUUGGACGAUGGGCGAAAGCCUGAUCCAGCAGUGCCGCGUGAGUGAUGAAGGCCGUAGGGUUGUAAAGCUCUCUUACCCGGGAUGAUAAUGACAGUACCGGGAGAAUAAGCUCCGGCUAACUCCGUG
Molecule: ribosomal RNA, 433 nt
Filed under: uncultured bacterium
Lineage: Bacteria
Description: partial 16S ribosomal RNA
Rfam family: Bacterial small subunit ribosomal RNA
Source: RNAcentral